Molecule: ribosomal RNA, 110 nt
Filed under: Bacteroidaceae bacterium
Lineage: Bacteria; Pseudomonadati; Bacteroidota; Bacteroidia; Bacteroidales; Bacteroidaceae
Source: RNAcentral
UAAGGUGGCUAUAGUGGCGGGGUCCCACCUCUUCCCAUUCCGAACAGAGCAGUUAAGCCCGCCCGCGCCGAUGGUACUGCGAUUCGUGGGAGAGUAGGUAGCCGCCGUUU